Molecule: transfer RNA, 72 nt
Filed under: Bos taurus (domestic cattle)
Lineage: Eukaryota; Metazoa; Chordata; Mammalia; Artiodactyla; Bovidae
Also listed under: 1 other name
Rfam family: tRNA
About the family: Transfer RNA (tRNA) molecules are approximately 80 nucleotides in length.
Source: Rfam by way of RNAcentral
UCCCUGGUGGUUCAGUGGUUGGGACUUGGCACUUUCACUGCCAGGGCCUGGAUUCAAUCCCUGGUUGGGGAA